GCCACUAACGAAGCAGAGAUGCAUUAGGUGCCCGUAAGGGAAAGUGGACACAGGUGCUGCAUGGCUGUCGUCAGCUCGUGUCGUGAGAUGUUGGGUUAAGUCCCGNAACGAGCGCAACCCUUGCCAUUAAUUGCCAUCAUUUAGUUGGGCACUUUAAUGGGACUGCCGGUGACAAACCGGAGGAAGGUGGGGAUGACGUCAAGUCCUCAUGGCCCUUAUGGCCAGGGCUUCACACGUAAUACAAUGGUCGGUACAGAGAGUUGCCAAGCCGCGAGGUGGAGCUAAUCUCAGAAAGCCGAUCGUAGUCCGGAUUGUUCUCUGCAACUCGAGAGCAUGAAGUCGGAAUCGCUAGUAAUCGCGGAUCAGCAUGUCGCGGUGAAUACGUUCCCGGGCCUUGUACACACCGCCCGUCACACCAUGGGAGUGGGUUUUACCAGAAGUAGUUAGUCUAACCGCAAGGGGGACGAUUACCACGGUAGUAUUCAUGACUGGGGUGAAGUCGUAACAAGGUAGGCGUAGUGCU
Molecule: ribosomal RNA, 523 nt
Filed under: uncultured bacterium
Lineage: Bacteria
Description: bacterial SSU rRNA
Rfam family: Bacterial small subunit ribosomal RNA
Source: RNAcentral